AUGUUUAAAGAAAGCAAAUCUUUGUCCAUUUUCCUAGGAUCCAGAUUAAACCCUCUUGGAAUAAGAGCAGCAGCAAGAUCUCUCCUACGGGUCUGCAAACCCCACAAACAAGAUAAGAGAGACAUACUUAAUGGAUCAGCGAUGAAUCCACAUUCAGAAACUACUGUAGAAUCGUCGGUGCUAUACAUAUGCAUGAAGUACAAUAAAAAUAUUGUAGUUAACUUGUUGGGUAUAUCACUGCUGUUGCCUCCUAAUUUUUGUGAUGAACGAAUAGUGCACGUUUUGCGUGUAAAUCCGAGAUGCCUCGAAAGGUUGGGAGGUGAACUUGUACUGGUGCUUCCUCCUGCAAUUUCUAAUGCUCUGACAAAGGUUACCUUAGCAGCUGUUGGAAUGGACAAUAGCAGACAAGUAUGCUACAAAGUUAAUACAAGCUGA
Molecule: ribosomal RNA, 435 nt
Filed under: Triticum aestivum (bread wheat)
Lineage: Eukaryota; Viridiplantae; Streptophyta; Magnoliopsida; Poales; Poaceae
Description: partial small subunit ribosomal RNA
Source: RNAcentral